AGUAAUGCUUGGGAAUCUAGCUUAUGGAGGGGGGUAACUACGGGAAACUGUAGCUAAUACCGCGUAGAAUCGAGAGAUGAAAGUGUGGGACCUUCGGGCCACAUGCCAUAGGAUGAGCCCAAGUGGGAUUAGGUAGUUGGUGAGGUAAAGGCUCACCAAGCCGACGAUCUCUAGCUGGUCUGAGAGGAUGACCAGCCACACUGGGACUGAGACACGGCCCAG
Molecule: ribosomal RNA, 222 nt
Filed under: uncultured bacterium
Lineage: Bacteria
Description: partial 16S ribosomal RNA
Rfam family: Bacterial small subunit ribosomal RNA
Source: RNAcentral